UGGGGUAAAGGCUUACCAAGGCAAUGAUGCGUAGCCGAAUUGAGAGGUUGAUCGGCCACAUUGGGACUGAGACACGGCCCAAACUCCUACGGGAGGCAGCAGUAGGGAAUCUUCCACAAUGGGCGAAAGCCUGAUGGAGCAACGCCGCGUGGGUGAAGAAGGUCUUCGGAUCGUAAAACCCUGUUGUUAGAGAAGAAAGUGCGUGAGAGUAACUGUUCACGUUUCGACGGUAUCUAACCAGAAAGCCACGGCUAACUACGUGCCAGCAGCCGCGGUAAUACGUAGGUGGCAAGCGUUAUCCGGAUUUAUUGGGCGUAAAGGGAACGCAGGCGGUCUUUUAAGUCUGAUGUGAAAGCCUUCGGCUUAACCGGAGUAGUGCAUUGGAAACUGGGAGACUUGAGUGCAGAAGAGGAGAGUGGAACUCCAUGUGUAGCGGUGAAAUGCGUAGAUAUAUGGAAGAACACCAGUGGCGAAAGCGGCUCUCUGGUCUGUAACUGACGCUGAGGUUCGAAAGCGUGGGUAGCAAACAGGAUUAGAUACCCUGGUAGUCCACGCCG
RNAcentral lists this ribosomal RNA (557 nucleotides) under uncultured bacterium. RNAcentral describes it as "bacterial SSU rRNA". It matches the Rfam family "Bacterial small subunit ribosomal RNA", at positions 253 to 802 of the family's 1533-position model. The record is from RNAcentral.